GGGCCCGCACAAGCGGUGGAGCAUGUGGUUUAAUUCGAUGAUACGCGAGGAACCUUACCAGGUCUUAAAUGCAUAACGAACGAUUGGGAAACCAAUCUUUCUUCGGACGGAAUGCAAGGUGCUGCAUGGUUGUCGUCAGCUCGUGCCGUGAGGUGUCAGGUUAAGUCCUAUAACGAGCGCAACCCCUAUUCUUAGUUGCCAGCGGUUCGGCCGGGGACUCUAAGAAAACUGCCAGUGCAAGCUGUGAGGAAGGUGGGGAUGACGUCAAAUCAUCACGGCCCUUACGACCUGGGCCACACACGUGCUACAAUGGUAGGUACAAAGGGCAGCCACUUGGCGACAAGGAGCUAAAUCUCUAAAAACCUAUCUCAGUUCGGAUUGGAGUCUGAAACUCGACUCUAUGAAGCUGGAAUCGCUAGUAA
Molecule: ribosomal RNA, 422 nt
Filed under: uncultured bacterium
Lineage: Bacteria
Description: bacterial SSU rRNA
Rfam family: Bacterial small subunit ribosomal RNA
Source: RNAcentral